This is a long non-coding RNA of Cyprinus carpio carpio, 674 nucleotides long. NCBI's taxonomy places the organism in Eukaryota, Metazoa, Chordata, Actinopteri, Cypriniformes, Cyprinidae. The record is from Ensembl.
UUGUUUGUUCUGCAGGAGCACUUCAAACCAGGUUAAUGGCAGGAUGAAAUACACCUUCCAGGAAGGAGAUGUCAUACAACCAGUAAGCUUCCUCAAUGAGCUACGUCUACCCACCAGUACAACAGUGUUUCCCGAAACAACAUUUGGUUUCUCUGUGACUCCUUCAAACCUCAUAUCUGGAUCAGCAGUGGUCAAAAGCAAGCUGGUGUUCAACUCCUCAUCUCCAGUCCCCAGUGAAUCUCUGGUCCUCAAUGCAAUCAAAACUCUGCGUAAUUCCAGAGAGUCACAGCUCAAUGAAUCAGUGAAGGUGGUGAAUGUCACCUAUGAGAAAAUCUCAGAAACCUCCUAUGCUGUGGUCUUUACAUUUAACGUGAUUAACAUCAGCAUGCCAGAGGACCCUAAGUCUAGAGGCAACACCAACCAGCAAGUGCAGGAUACCAUCAAUAAAGCGGUAAACUUACAAUAAUAAACAGUGUAAAAAGGCUUAGGUUCAAUGGCAGUUUUCACAAGAAACUGAUGAUUGGUUUGAUUUUUCUUUUGCAGCUGAACACUCUUCUGAAUGAACCUGGCAGUCUAAGUUUACAACCCAAGACCUCCAACUUCACGUAAGAUGCAAAUUUAUAUUUCAAUCUUGACUUUGUCUCCAAAAAUGUAGGUAAUCUAAGUAAUCCAAA